GCCUUCGUGGUGUAAUGGUCAGCACAGUGAACCGGUAUUUCAGAGGUCCGUGGUUCGAUCCCCGGCAAAAGCA
RNAcentral lists this transfer RNA (73 nucleotides) under Stegodyphus mimosarum. It matches the Rfam family "tRNA". Rfam says of the family: Transfer RNA (tRNA) molecules are approximately 80 nucleotides in length. Their secondary structure includes four short double-helical elements and three loops (D, anti-codon, and T loops). The record is from Rfam by way of RNAcentral. Lineage: Eukaryota; Metazoa; Arthropoda; Arachnida; Araneae; Eresidae.